RNAcentral lists this ribosomal RNA (176 nucleotides) under Colletotrichum acutatum. RNAcentral describes it as "5.8S ribosomal RNA". The stretch from base 1 to 154 matches the Rfam family "5.8S ribosomal RNA". Rfam says of the family: 5.8S ribosomal RNA (5.8S rRNA) is a component of the large subunit of the eukaryotic ribosome. It is transcribed by RNA polymerase I as part of the 45S precursor that also contains 18S and 28S rRNA. Functionally, it is thought that 5.8S rRNA may be involved in ribosome translocation. The record is from RNAcentral. Lineage: Eukaryota; Fungi; Ascomycota; Sordariomycetes; Glomerellales; Glomerellaceae.
AACUUUUAACAACGGAUCUCUUGGUUCUGGCAUCGAUGAAGAACGCAGCGAAAUGCGAUAAGUAAUGUGAAUUGCAGAAUUCAGUGAAUCAUCGAAUCUUUGAACGCACAUUGCGCUCGCCAGCAUUCUGGCGAGCAUGCCUGUUCGAGCGUCAUUUCAACCCUCAAGCACCGCUU